AUUUUUCUUAUAACCAACAUUUGAGAGAAAAAAUAUGUAUGCCGAUAUUAUUGAGAAAAAAUUGUAAAAUUGGAUGAAAUGAUUUUUUCUUGCAAUUGACCAAUUUCAACUCAAUAGUUAUUGGAAAUAGAAGCUAGUAUAUAGGUAAGGUGUCUACAGCACAAUUUAUGUGUUGAAAACGAGAGAUAUUAAUUACGUCAAAUAAAUUA
RNAcentral lists this long non-coding RNA (209 nucleotides) under Salvia miltiorrhiza (redroot sage). RNAcentral's name for it is "long non-coding RNA (SMIL_LNC012362)". Lineage: Eukaryota; Viridiplantae; Streptophyta; Magnoliopsida; Lamiales; Lamiaceae. The record is from RNAcentral.